GGCAGUUCUCAGGUGAUGCACUCUGGAAUCGGGCUCCCUCCUCUCUGGUUCUGGGUGUGUCACCUGAGAACUGCA
Myotis brandtii (Brandt's bat) is the source of this 75-nucleotide non-coding RNA. NCBI's taxonomy places the organism in Eukaryota, Metazoa, Chordata, Mammalia, Chiroptera, Vespertilionidae. The record is from Rfam.